UACAGAGGGUGCGAGCGUUUAAUCGGAAUUACUGGGCGUAAAGCGUGCGUAGACGGUCAAGUAAGUCGGGUGUGAAAGCCCCGGGCUCAACCUGGGAAUUGCAUUCGAGACUGCGUGGCUAGGGUGCGGAAGAGGGAAGCGGAAUUUCCGGUGUAGCGGUGAAAUGCGUAGAUAUCGGAAGGAACACCAGUGGCGAAAGCGGGCUUCCUGGUCCAGCACCGGACGUCAGGCACGAAAGCGUGGGGAGCAAACGGG
RNAcentral lists this ribosomal RNA (255 nucleotides) under uncultured bacterium. Its description in RNAcentral is "partial 16S ribosomal RNA". It matches the Rfam family "Bacterial small subunit ribosomal RNA", at positions 524 to 776 of the family's 1533-position model. The record is from RNAcentral.